Molecule: ribosomal RNA, 843 nt
Filed under: uncultured bacterium
Lineage: Bacteria
Description: bacterial SSU rRNA
Rfam family: Bacterial small subunit ribosomal RNA
Source: RNAcentral
AGUCGAACGAUGAACUGGAGCUUGCUCCAGGGAUUAGUGGCGAACGGGUGAGUAACACGUGAGUAACCUGCCCUUGACUCUGGGAUAAGCGCUAGAAAUGGCGUCUAAUACCGGAUACGAGCUUCAGCCGCAUGGCUAGGAGUUGGAAAGAAUUUUGGUCAAGGAUGGACUCGCGGCCUAUCAGCUAGUUGGUGAGGUAAUGGCUCACCAAGGCGACGACGGGUAGCCGGCCUGAGAGGGUGACCGGCCACACUGGGACUGAGACACGGCCCAGACUCCUACGGGAGGCAGCAGUGGGGAAUAUUGCACAAUGGGCGAAAGCCUGAUGCAGCAACGCCGCGUGAGGGAUGACGGCCUUCGGGUUGUAAACCUCUUUUAGUAGGGAAGAAGCGAAAGUGACGGUACCUGCAGAAAAAGCACCGGCUAACUACGUGCCAGCAGCCGCGGUAAUACGUAGGGUGCAAGCGUUGUCCGGAAUUAUUGGGCGUAAAGAGCUCGUAGGCGGUUUGUCGCGUCUGCUGUGAAAUCUGGGGGCUCAACCCCCAGCCUGCAGUGGGUACGGGCAGACUAGAGUGCGGUAGGGGAGAUUGGAAUUCCUGGUGUAGCGGUGGAAUGCGCAGAUAUCAGGAGGAACACCGAUGGCGAAGGCAGAUCUCUGGGCCGUAACUGACGCUGAGGAGCGAAAGCAUGGGGAGCGAACAGGAUUAGAUACCCUGGUAGUCCAUGCCGUAAACGUUGGGAACUAGAUGUGGGGGCCAUUCCACGGUCUCCGUGUCGCAGCUAACGCAUUAAGUUCCCCGCCUGGGGAGUACGGCCGCAAGGCUAAAACUCAAAGGAAUUGAC